This 254-nucleotide ribosomal RNA is filed under the name uncultured bacterium. RNAcentral describes it as "partial 16S ribosomal RNA". It matches the Rfam family "Bacterial small subunit ribosomal RNA", at positions 524 to 776 of the family's 1533-position model. The record is from RNAcentral.
UACGUAGGGGGCAAGCGUUGUCCGGAUUUAUUGGGCGUAAAGGGCGCGUAGGCGGCCACCGCAAGUCGGUUGUGAAAUCUCCGGGCUUAACCCGGAAAGGUCAAUCGAUACUGCGGGGCUAGAGUGCAGAAGGGGCAACUGGAAUUCUCGGUGUAGCGGUGAAAUGCGUAGAUAUCGAGAGGAACACCUGCGGCGAAGGCGGGUUGCUGGGCUGACACUGACGCUGAGGCGCGAAAGCUAGGGGAGCGAACAGG